AUUCCAGCUCCAAUAGCGUAUAUUUAAGUUGUUGCAGUUAAAAAGCUCGUAGUUGGAUCUUGGGUCGUAGGGGUCGGUCCGCCUACUCGGUGUGCACCUGCCCUUCCGUCCCUUUUGUCGGCGGCGUGCUCCUGGCCUUAAUUGGCUGGGUCGCGGUUCCGGCGCUGUUACUUUGAAAAAAUUAGAGUGCUCAAAGCAAGCUUAUGCUCUGAAUACAUUAGCAUGGAAUAACGUGAUAGGAGUCUGGUCCUAUUGUGUUGGCCUUCGGGACCGGAGUAAUGAUUAAUAGGGACUGUCGGGGGCAUUCGUAUUUCAUUGUCAGAGGUGAAAUUCUUGGAUUUAUGAAAGACGGACCACUGCGAAAGCAUUUGCCAAGGAUGUUUUCAUUG
RNAcentral lists this ribosomal RNA (389 nucleotides) under Embryophyta sp. Its description in RNAcentral is "partial small subunit ribosomal RNA". It matches the Rfam family "Eukaryotic small subunit ribosomal RNA", at positions 582 to 975 of the family's 1831-position model. The record is from RNAcentral. Lineage: Eukaryota; Viridiplantae; Streptophyta.